Molecule: long non-coding RNA, 952 nt
Organism: Scylla paramamosain (green mud crab)
Lineage: Eukaryota; Metazoa; Arthropoda; Malacostraca; Decapoda; Portunidae
Exons: 3
Source: RefSeq, a predicted model, not a curated record
UCACCUUUGGAAGGGAGGGGACCCUCCACUCACACAGUUCUUGACAAAAUAGUUUUUUUCUUUUCUUUUACCCCCUUCAUCAACGUCUCUCCUCUGACGGAGUUCUCAACUUUUCUUAUGGUGUCGCAGUGCUGCAUCUCUUGCUAUCUUCUACUGUUAUUUUCGUGCUUACUACUCCUCUGAACUUCCUAACUGCAAGCUUCCCCCUUCUCGUGACCUCGCUGUGCAAGACUUUCUACUUUCAUUCCCUAUUAUGCCCACCUCGCUAAUGCAGGAGUUAAGGCGUCUUCUUCAGCUCUUCAAAAGUGCCUCGGAAACAGGCAUUUUCCGACGCAUACCUUUCGAGCAGGUCUCCUGGGAACUUUGGAACCUUACAACUACCCCAGGCCACAAGCUUUCUAAGGGCUUGCAAGAAUUUUGGGAGGGCAGCAUGGUACUUAUAAGCUAUAUAAUGACAAAUUUAAGCUUGUGGGGAAAAGUAUAGGGUAAAAGUAGUUGGAAGAUAUUAAAUAAAAAUAAAUAAUAAUAAUCCUUCCUAUCUUGUUUCUAUAAGUUAAUACAAUUACUAUAGCCACAGCACGCAUGCCAAUAGUAUUGUCCCGACAACGCUUACGCCCACACCGCCCAUACCAACGCCCCUGGCGUAGCCCUUUGUCCGGGGCGUUGCCCCCCAGGCUUGCCCUACUGUGAGAACCUUAGCCUUAACUCUCGGCAAUCUGGACUUAGAUUUUGAAGAAUCGUUGAAUACCUGAAGUACUUGCUGAGUGUAUAACCGGUGCAGUUCCUGCAUAAACUCUAACUUAUAAUUAAAGUUCAUUGCUAUUGGAGAUCAUCAAAGAUCAAUAGGUGACUGCCAUGAUGUGUUGCAGGCAAGUUAGUGAAUAAGUCCAGACUGCUUCAAGAACAGUAGGAGUAGGCAUCACAUCUUUCUCCCCUCUGGCAAGAAUUUGCA